RNAcentral lists this long non-coding RNA (217 nucleotides) under Lathyrus oleraceus (garden pea). RNAcentral's name for it is "Pisum sativum (pea) long non-coding RNA (PSAT_LNC015400)". Lineage: Eukaryota; Viridiplantae; Streptophyta; Magnoliopsida; Fabales; Fabaceae. The record is from RNAcentral.
UAAAGGCACCUCCUUGCAAAAGAGCAAGUACAAAGGCUGGUGUGACACAAUUGCUUUUUUCACAUCUCUUUUUUUUGCAAUUAAACUUUGUUUCUUUUCUCUUUUAUCAUUCUUUUUCUUUUCAUUCCUUUCUUUUUCUUUUUCUUUUUCUUUUCUUUCUUGAUCAUAUUUUUCUCUCAUUUUUCUUUGAUCUUCUCUCACCUCACUAGGAUUUAAC